UACGGAGGGUGCGAGCGUUAUCCGGAAUUACUGGGUUUAAAGGGUGUGUAGGCGGCUUUGUAAGUCAGGAGUGAAAGUUUGCGGCUCAACCGUAAAAUUGCUUUUGAUACUGCAGAGCUAGAAUCAGGAUGAGGUUAGCGGAAUGUGGCAUGUAGCGGUGAAAUGCAUAGAUAUGCCAUAGAACACCAAUUGCGAAGGCUGCUGGCUAGACCUGCAUUGACGCUGAGUCACGAAAGCGUGGGGAGCGAACAGG
RNAcentral lists this ribosomal RNA (253 nucleotides) under uncultured bacterium. RNAcentral describes it as "partial 16S ribosomal RNA". It matches the Rfam family "Bacterial small subunit ribosomal RNA", at positions 524 to 776 of the family's 1533-position model. The record is from RNAcentral.